Molecule: non-coding RNA, 1561 nt
Organism: Callithrix jacchus (white-tufted-ear marmoset)
Lineage: Eukaryota; Metazoa; Chordata; Mammalia; Primates; Cebidae
Source: RefSeq, a predicted model, not a curated record
UUGCUGGUAAAGUCAGAUCUUCAUUCAGUGUUGGCCCAAAAGCUACAAGCUGAAAAGCAUGAUGUACCAAACAGGCAUGAGAUAAGUCCCGGACAUGACAGCACAUGGAAUAACAGUCAGCUACACGAAAUGGCCCAGCUGAGGAUUAAGCACCAAGAAGAACUGACUGAAUUACACAAGAAACGUGGGGAGAAUUGCAGAAUGUUUGCAGACUAUCUCUGACCUGGAGACAGAGUGCCUAGAUCUGCACACUAAGCUUCAGGAGCUUGAAAUAGCCAACCAAACCCUGAAGGAUGAAUAUGAGGCCCUGCAGAUCACUUUUACUGCCUUGUAGGAAAAACUGAGGAAAACUACAGAAGAGAACCAGGAGCUGGUCACCAGAUGGAUGGCUGAGAAAGCCCAGGAAGCCAAUCGCCUCAAUGCAGAGAAUGAAGCAGACUCCAGGAGGCAGCAAGCCCGGCUGCAGAAAGAGCUUGCUGAAGCAGCAAAGGAACCUCUACCAGUCGAACAGGAUGAUGACAUUGAGGUCAUUGUGGAUGAAACCUCUGAUCACACGGAAGAGACCUCUCCUGUGCAAGCCAUCAGCAGAGCAGCCACGAGACGCUCUGUCUCUUCCUUCCCAGUCCCCCAGGACAAUGUGGAUACUCAUCCUGGUUCUGGUAAAGAAGUGAGAGUACCAACUACUGCCUUAUGUGUCUUUGAUGCGCACGAUGGGGAGGUCAACGCUGUACAGUUCAGUCCAGGUUCCCGGUUACUGGCCACCGGAGGCAUGGACCUCAGGAUUAAGCUUUGGGAAGUAUUUGGAGAAAAAAGUGAAUUCAACGGUUCUCUAUCUGGCAGUAAUGCAGGAAUUACAAGCAUCAAAUUUGAUAGCGCUGGAUCUUACCUCUUAGCAGCUUCAAAUGAUUUUGCAAGCCAAAUCUGGACUGUGGAUGAUUAUCGAUUACGGCACACACUCACGGGACACAGUGGGAAAGUGCUGUCUGCUAAAUUCCUGCUGGACAAUGCACAAAUUGUCUCAGGAAGUCACGACCGGACUCUCAAACUCUGGGAUCUACGCAGCAAAGUCUGCAUAAGGACAGUGUUUGCAGGAUCCAGUUGCAAUGCUAUUGUCUUCACAGAGCAAUGUGUGAUGAGCGGACAUUUGACAAGAAAAUUUGUUUCUGGGACAUUCGAUCAGAGGGUACAGUUCGAGAGAUGGAGUUGUUGGGAAAGAUUACUGCCCUGGACUUAAAUCCAGAAAGGACUGAGCUCCUGAGCUGCUCCCGUGAUGACUUGCUAAAAGUUAUUGAUCUCUGAACAAAUGCUGUCAAGCAGACAUUCAGUGCACCUGGGUUCAAGUGCGACUCUGACUGGACCAGAGUUGUCUUCAGACCUGAUGGCAGUUACGUGGCAGCAGGCUUUGCUGAGGGCUCUCUCUAUAUUUGGAGUGUGCUCACAGGGAAAGUGGAAAAGGUUCUUUCAAAGCUCCUCCAUCAAUGCAGUGGCGUGGUCGCCCUCUGGCUCGCACGUCGUCAGUGCAGACAAAGGAUGCAAAGCUGUGCUGUGGGCACAGUAUUGA